This is a long non-coding RNA of Cyprinus carpio (common carp), 978 nucleotides long. RefSeq lists it as uncharacterized. The record is from RefSeq and is a predicted model, not a curated record. The transcript has 2 exons. Lineage: Eukaryota; Metazoa; Chordata; Actinopteri; Cypriniformes; Cyprinidae.
UUCAUUUUCAGAAACAACAAGCAUGUUUUACUGCAUGUUAUUUAAUUAUUUAUUCUAGGUUGAGCUUCUCCCUCCAAACAAUGUUUUAAUGAUGGGUUUCAUUGAGGCUUGGAUACUGAGAGCAUUUAAUAUCUGUGUUACAGAUUUGAUGUCAUCCAUGAUACUGUAUAACAGGUCAAAGGUCAUUCAAUAGGGAAUGAAUCUAAAUCUUGCUAAAGAUUCAUUAUAAAGCAGCAGGUAAAUAGAAUUAAUGUAAAUUCGAGGAACGUAUUUUGAGACUGAUUAUGAAACAAAUUAUUUUAAUCUUCAUGCAAUAACAAGUAUUAAGUAUUGAAGAAUAUUUUGUGCUUUUUUUUAUAAUAAUCCAUGAGUGAUGUUGAGAAGAGCUGCUGCUGAGUCUGAUAUCAGUGUGUGAGUCUCUUCUCUCUUUCUCUGCUGGAGUUUGUGUUUAUUUGAGUGUGACGGAGGUUUUUGUACGACGCUUUCACUAGAAUGAACUACUGUGGUACACUUUUGGUGGAGGAACUAAACUGACGAUCGCUGGUCCCGCAGUGAAGCCCUCCGUGUCUCUGCUGCCUCCCUCUUCUCUGCAGAUCUCUGGAGACUCAGCCGCACUGCUCUGCCUGCUCAGCUCUUACUCUCCACAGGGGGCGCAGGUGAGCUGGACGCUGGACGGGUCAGAGGUUCACCGAGGGGGUUCAGACCAGCGCAGAGAGCGAGCGGGACGGACGCUACAGCCGCAGCAGCGUCCUGAGCCUCAGCAAAGCACGCUGGGAAGACACAAAGCGCUUCGUCUGCAGAGUAACACAUGACGGAGCUGAUCACGAGACCUCGUUCCUCAAGAGCUCCGAGUGCUGAUGUUUCUCCAGUGAAGAGCAGCAGGAUUCACAGCAGUCUCCUGAUUUACAGCUCAAUACUCAAGCAGUCUUUCAAUGUGCUGCCAUUGCUGUUCAUUCAAUAAAGCUUCUGAACGCCUUA